AGUGAACGCUGGCGGCAGGCCUAAUACAUGCAAGUCGAACGGCAGCACAGUGGAGCUUGCUCCAUGGGUGGCGAGUGGCGGACGGGUGAGGAAUACAUGGGAAUCUGCCCAGUCGUGGGGAUAACGUAUGGAAACGUACGCUAAUACCGCAUGCGCCCUUCGGGGGAAAGUCGGGGACCGCAAGGCCUGACGCGAUUGGAUGAGCCCAUGUUCGAUUAGCUAGUUGGCGGGUAACGGCCCACCAAGGCGACGAUCGAUAGCUGGUCUGAGAGGAUGAUCAGCCACACUGGAACUGAGACACGGUCCAGACUCCUACGGGAGGCAGCAGUAGGGAAUAUUGGACAAUGGGCGCAAGCCUGAUCCAGCCAUGCCGCGUGAGUGAAGAAGG
This 388-nucleotide ribosomal RNA is filed under the name uncultured bacterium. RNAcentral's name for it is "bacterial SSU rRNA". It matches the Rfam family "Bacterial small subunit ribosomal RNA", at positions 29 to 414 of the family's 1533-position model. The record is from RNAcentral.